ACAAUUCAAGGUACCCAGUGAGGAAUGUAUAAAGAGUUGUGGGAGUAGUGCAGCUUUCUCAGGUUGUCCCUUUCCAGCUGAAUAUGCAGAAAAGCUCACACACCACCCGCCUGGCUCAGGGGAGCUGGUUAAGGUAGGAUUGCGUGUAUGAAAUGGGCAUAGUUAAUGCCUGUGAAGUUGUUUAAAACAUCUAAUGACAACCCAGACUUGAAUCUUCCAGCUCUAUCGUGCUGCAAAAAUCUGCAAGUCUCUCCAGGGAAAUUUUGAUCCCCCUUGGUCCAAAGACUGUCUGCAAAUUGAUGCCUCCGGGUUGAGAUUUGCAUGUGUGGGUAUCUGACCACCUCCUGCAAUGCUGAAUAAAGUGCAAGGCAAAUACCAGAGCUCAGAGUGUAUAUGAAGAGUUCGACAUGCUGGCAUCACCAACACUGUGCUUCCCAGCAUGCCCCAGCCUUCCUUCAAAGAAGCACUCGGUGUAGCAGAAAGUCCAAGAAAAGGCUUACUCCCUGGAGGAUCAAGAAGAAAGCAACAGUGAAGAAAGGACCGAUAGCAGCACGGAGAAUACAGAAAGCAGAUAAAGAAGGAAAGGAGGAGGUGGAGGUGAGCAGAAGGCAGCUCAGAAAAUUGCACAAGCUGUGGGGAGUUUUUCCAUCGAGACGUUUGUGCAUCUCAAAGGGAGUGACUCUGCCAUCUGCAUCUCCUCUGAAAAAAAAAAAAAAACGGAACAGAGCAGCGACAAAAAAAGAAAUCCACCUGUUGUGUGUCUUGUUUUGGCUGUAGUAGGACAAAUCAGCACAGAAUGCCUGCUGUGCGAGGGGAGAGGAAGCCAACGGAGGUACUGUUGUGUCUGAGGAGCCACACAACCAGUCCCACUGCUCUGUCCUACUGACACACUGGGAAGAGCAGGGAGGAACUAUUUUAGUCCUGUUGAGGCUGCUGAGGAACGAAAAAAUGGAAGUAAUUAAAGGUGUGUUCCAGUCUCACUUACUUUUCUGAG
Non-coding RNA from Meleagris gallopavo (turkey), 994 nucleotides. The record is from RefSeq and is a predicted model, not a curated record. NCBI's taxonomy places the organism in Eukaryota, Metazoa, Chordata, Aves, Galliformes, Phasianidae.